This 253-nucleotide ribosomal RNA is filed under the name uncultured bacterium. RNAcentral's name for it is "partial 16S ribosomal RNA". It matches the Rfam family "Bacterial small subunit ribosomal RNA", at positions 524 to 776 of the family's 1533-position model. The record is from RNAcentral.
UACGAAGGGGGCUAGCGUUGCUCGGAAUGACUGGGCGUAAAGGGCGCGUAGGCGGACUGGUCAGUCAGACGUGAAAUUCCUGGGCUCAACCUGGGGGCUGCGUUUGAGACGGCUGGUCUAGAGUUUGGAAGAGGGUUGUGGAAUUCCCAGUGUAGAGGUGAAAUUCGUAGAUAUUGGGAAGAACACCGGUGGCGAAGGCGGCAACCUGGUCCUUGACUGACGCUGAGGCGCGAAAGCGUGGGGAGCAAACAGG